UUUGUAAUUUGAGACUUAGGUGGUUUAUGUGGGGUUUUUUGUUAAACAUAUUUAUAGGGUUUAGAGUAUAGAUGAAAGAAAAAAUUUCUUUAGAGAAGGUUUGAGUGUAAAUUCUAGUAUAAAGUUAAUUAUGUUAAGGUAAGAAUCUGUUUGGUUUUUUUUCCUUUUUGUAGACGGUUUAACAAGUUAAAGGUUGUGUUUGUUUAUAAUUUUUUCGAAUCUGAGUGAUUUUUUUUAAAGAUUGUGUUUGUUUGGUCGAUAACUUACGUAGUAAUUUAAAAAUGUUUUUGUGUGAAAUGCAAAUCGAACUUAGUGAUAGAUCUAUUUCUUGUUUAAUGGUGUGGUUCAGCUUUAUGGGUUGUGAAGAGUUUAAGCUUUCGUAAGGGUUCUUAAUUAGGGUAAGCUUAAUUAAGUGAUAUAAGUGUUAAAUAUUUUGUUUUAAGGAGUUUCUUGUGUUGGGUAGAGAGUGAUCUUUGAAGUAGUGUGAUGUGUUAUAACAUAGUUUUGUUUUUUGACUUCAUUAAUUUUUAAUUUUUAUAGUAUUUUUUUAAACAAGUUAAAUUUAAAAGAUGGUUAAAAUGAGUAAUAAGACGGGUUUUAGGCUAAUUUUUGGUGCGAUAUUGGUUUUAAAUGUUUUAAAUUGAGUAAGGCGUAGAGAGGGACUUCAAAGAGAGGUGAUUGUUUACUAAAAGCUUAUUUUGUUGAUUCUUAUAAUAAAUAAUCUUCGUGCUCGGUAUUAUGUAUACAGUGGAAAAGGAUCCUUAAUAAGUUUGAGUUGUUUUAAUUGAAUUGAUUUUUCCAGAAUAGGGGGGAAUGCUUUUCUUUUGUCUUUCUACGUAUGUAUGAAAUUAGAUUAUCUGUGUAGAUUCAGAUGUGUUGGUUAGGGACGAAAAGACCCCUGGUGAUUUAGGUUAAUAGGUUUGUUUUUGAGAAAAUUUAAGAUCUUUGCUGGGGUGGUGACUAAUAAUAAUUUAACAUUAGUGUUUUGUGAUUUCAUGAUGUUGAAUGUUUUGUGAGAGGGUUAACUUUGAAAGUGGUUAAUAUUAUCAGAAAAAUUAACCCUGGGGCUAACAGCAUAAUAUACUAUAGUGAGAUCUUAUUAUAUAGUUUGUUUGUGACCUCGAUGUCGGCUUUGAUUUUGCUUAUUGGUGUAGGUGCUAAGAGAGUUUGUUUGCUAGCCAAUUAAAAAAUUACAUGAGCUGGGUUAAGGACGGAGUGAUUUAGUUCGGAUUUUAUCUUGAAUAUUAAUUAACAGUUAGUACGAAAGGAACAUUGGUUUAUUAGUUUUUUUCUAAGGAA
This 1299-nucleotide ribosomal RNA is filed under the name Rhodosoma turcicum. Its description in RNAcentral is "large ribosomal RNA". The stretch from base 883 to 1239 matches the Rfam family "Archaeal large subunit ribosomal RNA", at positions 2153 to 2713 of the family's 2987-position model. Lineage: Eukaryota; Metazoa; Chordata; Ascidiacea; Phlebobranchia; Corellidae. The record is from RNAcentral.